This 708-nucleotide long non-coding RNA is filed under the name Ananas comosus (pineapple). RNAcentral's name for it is "long non-coding RNA (ACOM_LNC019759)". Lineage: Eukaryota; Viridiplantae; Streptophyta; Magnoliopsida; Poales; Bromeliaceae. The record is from RNAcentral.
AUAAGCCCUCAUUCCCCCAGCCCUUUGUUCCCAAACGUGAUGUUUGGUACCUGGGAACAGUAGUUCUAGAGUUUCAAGAACAAGCUGGUAUAAGGCUAGAACUGCUGUUCCACCCUUUUUCUGGAACAAACUUGUUUUUUGAUGAGAACAAGGUUAAUUAAAAUCUAAAUUUAAUUUUAAUAGCACUAAAUUAUUAAUUAACCUAAUUAAUAUAUUUUAAUUAUUAUUUAUUGCUUUAAUAAUUAAAUAAUUAAUUAAUUUAUUAUUUAUAAUUAAUUAUUAAUAAUUUGAUAAUUAAUAAUAUUAAUUUAUUUAUUUAUAAUUAAUUAUUAAUAAUUAAUUUAUUAUUUAUUUUUAAGUAAUAUUUUGAUGUUAAUUAAUUACAUAAUAUAAUUUUAAUUUAAAAUUAUAACUUUUAUUCCUCUUGUUCCAAUCUAACCAUCCAAAUAUUAUUUACCUAACAAUCCAAUUUUUAUCCAAAUACAAAAUUGGUCUAAUUCCUACUUAUACCUGAACUUGUAUCUAUUCCUGAAACUAGCCGUUCUUAUUUAUACCCGAACCAAACGCAUCACGUACAAAUACAACAAUAAACCAAAAUAUUCCAAUUUCUAUUUUUUUUCAUCUUGAUUAUUUAACAAGAAACAAAAAAAAAUCUUACUCUAUUUUAUUUUUCAUCUUUCUCAUUUCUCCUCCACAAAAAUGUUUAGA